UAGUUGUCCAGUGUUUGAUUUGUAAAACUGUUUCAGGUACAGGACAAACUGGAGGCAAGGGACAGGACAAAAACUCAUAUUUUUGUCCCUCACCAAACCACAGCACAACUUUUUGUCCCACGUACAAGUUGUCUAAAAUACCAAAAUAGCAUUUUGUCCCUCAAAAAUUGUAUAAAACAAAAAAUUACACAAUGCCAUAAAAAAUUUGUCC
This 211-nucleotide long non-coding RNA is filed under the name Medicago truncatula (barrel medic). RNAcentral describes it as "long non-coding RNA (MTRU_LNC003211)". The record is from RNAcentral. Lineage: Eukaryota; Viridiplantae; Streptophyta; Magnoliopsida; Fabales; Fabaceae.